AGCAGUAGCCACGGUAAUACGAAGGGUGCAAGCGUUAAUCGGAAUUACUGGGCGUAAAGCGUUCGUAGGCGGUUUGUUAAGUCUGUUGUAAAUCCCCGGGCUCAACCUGGGAAUGGCAAUGGAUACUGGCAAGCUAGAGUGUGUCAGAGGAUGGCGGAAUUCCCGGUGUAGCGGUGAAAUGCGUAGAGAUCGGGAGGAACAUCAGUGGCGAAGGCGGCCAUCUGGGACAACACUGACGCUGAGGCACGAAAGCGUGGGGAGCAAACAGGAUUAGAUACCCGCGUAGUCCCUGUCUCUUAUACA
This 303-nucleotide ribosomal RNA is filed under the name uncultured bacterium. RNAcentral describes it as "partial 16S ribosomal RNA". It matches the Rfam family "Bacterial small subunit ribosomal RNA", at positions 507 to 808 of the family's 1533-position model. The record is from RNAcentral.